CCUACGGGAGGCAGCAGUGGGGAAUUUUGGACAAUGGGGGAAACCCUGAUCCAGCCAUUCCGCGUGAGUGAAGAAGGCCUUCGGGUUGUAAAGCUCUUUCGGCAGGAACGAAGCGGCGGACUCUAACAUAGUCUGUCAAUGACGGUACCUGAAGAAGAAGCACCGGCUAACUACGUGCCAGCAGCCGCGGUAAUACGUAGGGUGCGAGCGUUAAUCGGAAUUACUGGGCGUAAAGCGUGCGCAGGCGGUUUUGUAAGACAGGCGUGAAAUCCCCGGGCUUAACCUGGGAACUGCGCUUGUGACUGCAAGGCUAGAGUGCGGCAGAGGGGGGUAGAAUUCCACGUGUAGCAGUGAAAUGCGUAGAG
This 365-nucleotide ribosomal RNA is filed under the name uncultured Rhodocyclaceae bacterium. RNAcentral describes it as "partial 16S ribosomal RNA". It matches the Rfam family "Bacterial small subunit ribosomal RNA", at positions 338 to 695 of the family's 1533-position model. The record is from RNAcentral. Lineage: Bacteria; Pseudomonadati; Pseudomonadota; Betaproteobacteria; Rhodocyclales; Rhodocyclaceae.